Small nuclear RNA from Carlito syrichta (Philippine tarsier), 103 nucleotides. NCBI's taxonomy places the organism in Eukaryota, Metazoa, Chordata, Mammalia, Primates, Tarsiidae. The record is from Ensembl.
GUACUUCCUUCAGCAGCACAUAUGCUAAAAUUGAAAUAAUACAGAGAAGAUUAGCAUGGCCCCUGCGCAAAGGUGACAGAUUCAUGAAGCGUUCCAUAUUUUU